This 504-nucleotide ribosomal RNA is filed under the name uncultured bacterium. RNAcentral's name for it is "bacterial SSU rRNA". It matches the Rfam family "Bacterial small subunit ribosomal RNA", at positions 28 to 488 of the family's 1533-position model. The record is from RNAcentral.
GAUGAACGCUGGCGGCGUGCCUAACACAUGCAAGUCGAACGAGAAGUUAACCGCUGAUUCCUUCGGGAUGAGGAGGUUAGCAGAAAGUGGCGAACGGGUGAGUAACGCGUGGGUAAUCUACCCUGUAAGUGGGGGAUAACCCUCCGAAAGGAGGGCUAAUACCGCAUAAUAUCUUCACUUCUAAAAGAAGAGAAGAUUAAAGAUGGCCUCUGUCUUAAGCUAUCACUUCAGGAUGAGCCUGCGUCCUAUUAGUUAGUUGGUGGGGUAAUGGCCUACCAAGACCACAAUGGGUAGCCGGUCUGAGAGGAUGUACGGCCACACUGGGACUGAGAUACGGCCCAGACUCCUACGGGAGGCAGCAGUGGGGAAUAUUGCGCAAUGGGGGAAACCCUGACGCAGCGACGCCGCGUGGAUGAUGAAGGCCUUUGGGUUGUAAAAUCCUGUUUUGGGGGAAGAAACCUUAAGGGUCCAAUAAACCCUUGAAUUGACGGUACCCCAAGAGAA